GAAGUAAAAUACUCAAUGUAUUCAAGUGCUUUCAUGUAGAAAAUUUCAUUUGAAUACGGCCGGUAGAAAUAUUUUUAAUUUUUCAAAAUAUCGAGUUUUUACGCACAGUCGCACGCACCUGUCACGCUGAAGUUCGGGAAUUCACAAUCAGACCAGAAAUGGAAAUACCAUAGUAAAAGAUGGUGCUAUGCUCUGACAUACAUGAGUUAUCUGAACUUCCCUUCUAGAACGAAAGACUUUUUCCCUCACUAAACCAACCUUGGGACCAUGAGGAUACUAUCCCUGAGCAAUUGCAAAUUGGAUCUGAAUCUGACAAACAUCUUGA
Non-coding RNA from Paramuricea clavata, 325 nucleotides. NCBI's taxonomy places the organism in Eukaryota, Metazoa, Cnidaria, Anthozoa, Malacalcyonacea, Plexauridae. The record is from the annotation of a GenBank genome assembly.